CCUACGGGAGGCUGCAGUGGGGAAUAUUGCACAAUGGGGGAAACCCUGAUGCAGCGACGCCGCGUGAGUGAAGAAGUAUUUCGGUAUGUAAAGCUCUAUCAGCAGGGAAGAAAAUGACGGUACCUGAUUAAGAAGCCCCGGCUAACUACGUGCCAGCAGCCGCGGUAAUACGUAGGGGGCAAGCGUUAUCCGGAUUUACUGGGUGUAAAGGGAGCGUAGACGGCAGCACAAGUCUGGAGUGAAAUGCCGGGGCUUAACCCCGGGACUGCUUUGGAAACUGUGCAGCUGGAGUGCAGGAGAGGUAAGUGGAAUUCCUAGUGUAGCGGUGAAAUGCGUAGAUAUCAGGAGGAACACCAGUGGCGAAGGCGGCUUACUGGACUGUAACUGACGUUGAGGCUCGAAAGCGUGAGGAGCAAACAGGAUUAGACACCCCGGUAGUC
This 440-nucleotide ribosomal RNA is filed under the name uncultured bacterium. RNAcentral describes it as "partial 16S ribosomal RNA". It matches the Rfam family "Bacterial small subunit ribosomal RNA", at positions 338 to 795 of the family's 1533-position model. The record is from RNAcentral.